GGGGGCGGGGGGGGGGUGGCGGGGCGAGGGAAGGCGGGGGGACGGACGAGGAGGGGGCUCCUCUGGUGUUAGCGGCGGACGGGUGAGUAACACGUGGGUAACCUACCUAUAAGACUGGGAUAACUUCGGGAAACCGGAGCUAAUACCGGCUAAUAUUAUGACCCGCAUGGUUCAAAAGUGAAAGACGGUCUUGCUGUCACUUAUAGAUGGAUCCGCGCUGCAUUAUCUAGUUGGUAAGGUAACGGCUUACCACGGCAACGAUGCAUAGCCGACCUGAGCGGGUGAUCGGCCACACUGGAACUGAGACACGGUCCAGACUCCUACGGGAGGCAGCAGUAGGGAAUCUUCCGCAAUGGGCGAAAGCCGGACGGAGCAACGCCGCGUGAGUGAUGAAGGUCUUCGGAUCGUAAAACUCUGUUAUUAGGGAGGAACAUAUGUGUAAGUAACUGUGCACAUCUUGACGGUACCUAAUCAGAAAGCCACGGCUAACUACGUG
Molecule: ribosomal RNA, 496 nt
Filed under: uncultured bacterium
Lineage: Bacteria
Description: partial 16S ribosomal RNA
Rfam family: Bacterial small subunit ribosomal RNA
Source: RNAcentral